AGUGAACGCUGGCGGCAGGCCUAACACAUGCAAGUCGAACGGCAGCACGGCAGUAGCAAUACUGUGGGUGGCGAGUGGCGGACGGGUGAGGAAUACAUCGGGAUCUACCCUGUUGUGGGGGAUAACGUAGGGAAACUUACGCUAAUACCGCAUAAGAACUGAGGUUGAAAGCGGCGGACCGCAAGGCGUCGCGCGAUUGGAUGAACCGAUGUCCGAUUAGCUAGUUGGCGGGUAAAGGCCACCAAGGCGACGAUCGGUAGCUGGUCUGAGAGGACGACCAGCCACACUGGAACUGAGACACGGUCCAGACUCCUACGGGAGGCAGCAGUGGGGAAUAUUGGACAAUGGGCGCAAGCCUGAUCCAGCCAUGCCGCGUGGGUGAAGAA
Molecule: ribosomal RNA, 386 nt
Filed under: uncultured bacterium
Lineage: Bacteria
Description: bacterial SSU rRNA
Rfam family: Bacterial small subunit ribosomal RNA
Source: RNAcentral